Boseongicola aestuarii is the source of this 52-nucleotide regulatory RNA element. It matches the Rfam family "SAM/SAH riboswitch aptamer". NCBI's taxonomy places the organism in Bacteria, Pseudomonadati, Pseudomonadota, Alphaproteobacteria, Rhodobacterales, Paracoccaceae. The record is from Rfam.
GCACUGUCACAACGGCUUCCUGACGUGACAGGCUGAAUCUCAUAACGGAGCA